RNAcentral lists this long non-coding RNA (488 nucleotides) under Homo sapiens (human). Its description in RNAcentral is "HSALNT0325803". The record is from RNAcentral. Lineage: Eukaryota; Metazoa; Chordata; Mammalia; Primates; Hominidae.
ACACUUCCUGGUCCUCUCUGGCUGCGUCUGAGGGCCUUAGCUCUGGCCAGGGGCGCUGCAACGGGCUCAGCCUUCUAGGGGUGGCGGGUGAAGGCCUACACCUGCCCCAGGACGGCCAGGUCCACCAGCACCUGCAACAGACGGAGAACUGAAGGAGCAUCUUGAAGCUGUGGCUGUCUUGAAGGUGUCGCCGCUUGUCCUCACGAGCACCAUUUUGAUUCUCGUGCCCUGUGUGCAUGGGUGGCCAGCGUUGCUGGUAGGGCUCCUGCACGCUCAGAGUGGCCUUGGCCAGGAAGUCCAGGGUUUCCGCAGGCAGAGUGUAUGAACAAGAUGCCACAGACAUGUGAGAAAUGGAACUUUUGACAAGAUCUGUGAAAAGAAUGGUAUUUUAUUGUAUUAGGAUUCUCCAGAGGGACAGAACUGAUCGGAUAUAUGUGUAUAUGAAAAGGAGUUUAUUAGGGAGAAUUGGCUCACAUGAUCAUAAGGCA